AGGACUGGUUUGGGCGCUGGCCCUAACCAGCCCCUGUUUCAGCCCCUCUCUCCCUCCCUCUUGAUCUCUCUCUCGAUCUCGAUCAGUCUCCCACUCUCUCUCUCCCUCUUCCUCUCCAACUCGGAGCUCGACGAAGAGAGCCUCAACGAGCACAACCAGGUGUGGAUCGGCUAGAGUACGGAUCUGGUCCGUACGCUUAGGGAUUGCAUUCAGUCCAUCCAUAAGCCGAGAAAAGCAGAAGAGAAAAAGCAGUAGUGUGCAUUGCAAUAUGUCAAGAUGUUGGCUCCAUCUUGAGUAGAAACUGAAUCAGGUAUCCAUGUGCCUAGGCCCUUCAGUUUUUGGAGAAAAUAGGACAAUCUUGAGCUCUAUUUUUAUGUUUUGAAAAGUAUGUUGUUGGGCUUUAUCUGUUUCUUCUCAGUAGUAGCAAUUUAUUGUGUCAGAGAAACAUCUCUACCCAUAUAGAUUUGAGAGGCUGACUUGUCAUCAACCAUGAAAUCUUGAACAUUGUAAUUUGUGAUUUGGCUCUGGAAAUUGGGCUGUUUGGAUGCCUGAGCAAAUUGAAUUCCAGACAUUCAGUUUUUUUUAAAAAUGUUGUUUCCUACCGUUGACAAGGGAGUAGUGCACGUGCAAAGUGAAAGUAACAGAAUUGCAAUUUGGAGCUCAAGCUAAAGUGAGCAAGACAUUUUAUACAAAUGUUCCUGAUGAAUGCAUGCAAGCUGUUGAAGAUCUGGUUGUUCCAAGGACUUAUCCUCUUCUCGUUGUCCUCUUCUCAUUGUCUUUUCGAAUUUUGAUGUUUGGAAAAAAAAAAAAUAAUAAGGGCAAUUUAAAUAGCAAGAGAGCAAUCAGAUGCGUUUUUUGGCAAUGUAGGAAUUUUUCUGUGGAAAUAGGAAAUAUGUGCAGUUACUCUUUGUUUUGUAGCGAUUAUUUUCAAUUGAGGCAUGCAUUAACUCAAAAUAAACUGAUUAAAUAAGUGUAGUUUUUUGUUCACAUUGCAUCUAAAAUGCGACCUUACAAUUUGGACUA
This is a long non-coding RNA of Magnolia sinica, 1023 nucleotides long. RefSeq lists it as uncharacterized. The record is from RefSeq and is a predicted model, not a curated record. The transcript is spliced from 3 exons. Lineage: Eukaryota; Viridiplantae; Streptophyta; Magnoliopsida; Magnoliales; Magnoliaceae.